Non-coding RNA from Salmo salar (Atlantic salmon), 3391 nucleotides. NCBI's taxonomy places the organism in Eukaryota, Metazoa, Chordata, Actinopteri, Salmoniformes, Salmonidae. The record is from RefSeq and is a predicted model, not a curated record.
GAGCCCUGCACGCACGUUUUCAGUUGUGUUUUCAGGCCUAUUCAUAGUUUGAAACUCGCUGACAUGUCAAACAGAAACAUUACCUUCAUAAUCUGUGUCGUUGUCAUCACCACCCAAUAGCAUAAUGAUAAUUAUUAUGGACGACCAGAAUAUCGACAGAAUUUAGCGGUUUCCGGCUGCUGUGUAACCCGAGCCGUGGGUGUAGCGACAGCUGGAGAAGCGAGGCAAGGGGCAGCGGGAUAAGGCAGGCUACGAGCCUUUCGGAAAUAACCUCUAGCUUUCUCUUUGUACUUUACUCAAAUCUGGAACUGUAAGUAAAGAUCGGUUAACUUUGCGAUGGCAACGCACUCCCUUUGGACUUGUUUGGUUGCAACUGUAGGCUUACUCUGGGGUGUGACAGUACUGGUGCGUUGUAAUGAGGAGUCUAAGCUGAUUGGGGACCUGUUCAGAGGCUACAACAAGAACAUCCGUCCAGCAGCACACCCCACAGAUAAGGUGGAGGUGCAGGUCAAGCUGAUUCUCACCAACCUCAUCUCCCUGAAUGAAAAGGAAGAGACUCUCACAACUAAUGUCUGGAUUGAGAUUCAAUGGAAUGAUAUUCGCCUAGCCUGGAACACCUCUGAGUAUUUUGGCAUUGAAGUUAUCCGUGUGCCUUACAACACAGUAUGGCUCCCUGACAUCGUCCUUGAGAAUAACAUUGAUGGCAAGUUUGAUGUGGCCUACUAUGCCAAUGUGUUGAUCUACUCCAGUGGCUACAUGUACUGGCUGCCUCCAGCGAUCUACCGCAGCACCUGUGCCAUAGAGAUCACCUACUUCCCCUUUGACUACCAGAACUGCACCUUAGUCUUCAGGUCCCAGACAUACAGUGCAAAUGAGUUGGAAAUCAUACUGGCUGUUGACGCAGAGACCAACAAGCCUAUUGAGUGGGUGGACAUUGAUCCCGAGGCCUUCACUGAGAACGGUGAGUGGGCCAUAAAGCACCGGCCAGCCAGGAAGCUGAUCAACUCACGCUACAGUCCUGAUGACCUGGAGUACCAGGAAAUCUCCUUCAACCUGGUCAUCCAGAGAAAACCUCUAUUCUACAUCAUCAACAUUAUCCUGCCCUGCUCACUCAUCUCCUCCCUGGUCGUCCUGGCCUACUUCCUACCUGCACAGGCUGGGGGACAGAAGCUGACUGUGUCCAUCUCUGUCCUGCUGGCUCAGACUGUCUUCCUAUUUCUUAUUGCUCAGAAGGUCCCUGAGACAUCUCUCAAUGUCCCACUCAUUGGCAAGUACCUGAUCUUUGUCAUGUCUGUGACCACGCUCAUCGCCACCAACCAAAUCGUGGUGCUCAACAUGUCCCUCCGUAGUCCCAAUACCCACACCAUGUCCCACACUAUCAAGCACCUCUUCCUGGAGCUUGUUCCUCAAUUCCUGGGCAUGGCCCCUCUGGUGGAUAAUGCAGAGGCGGAAGUGAACGGAGGGAGGGAGCGACGGCGUAGCUCGUUCGGCCUGAUGCAGAGAGCGGAGGAGUAUGUGCUGAAACAACCACGCAGCGAGAUGAUGUUUGAUAAACAGAGAGAGAGGCACGGCCUCACACGAUCAUUUGGUAAGAUGAGUGGAUUAGAGUGGAAAUCUGAGAACCAACCCUAACCCAAAAAAAUGCAUGGUAGGCUAGAGAUGGCAGAAUUUUUGGGGAAGAUCUUUUUGCCUGAUUUUUAGAUAUGUUUCUGCUAAUAAUUUCCGACAUUAUGGUAGGCUAUUUGUUAGUCAACUUGUCUAUAAUUAGAUACAGGUGGCUUCUCUUCUGUCAUUAUGUUGCCCGAAGACUAAAUAAACCCUUGCUCACCAGAAUGUUAUAAAUCGAUAGAAUGAAUGCUUCAAUCUAGUUGACUUCGGUAAAGUUGUCUCUGUCAUCUCUGCUUCUUUCAUGGAGCAAAGAAGUUUAGAGAUCGGGGAGAAAAUGCAAUAACUCAAAAAUCAGGAAAGAUUUUCUGUGCAACAUUUCCAAAUGACAUCAGUUUACCCGGUUGUAAGGGAAGCUGUGAAAACGAGCCAACAUGUUUCUGAUAAGAUUUCAGUUCGGCUUGGAUGCAUAUUUUGUGGUUGAAAUACUAUCAGCUUUUAUGUUGCUGAUAAAGAUGGGUACAGUUUAGAGGUGCUAACUGUGCAUUUGCAUUCUCUCAAGAUGAAAAAAAUGUCUCCACUCCUGUUCAAAAUUUUGCCUACAUAAUUUUACUGCAAGAAAUGCUUAAUUUUCCAGGAGUUAAUAUUAAGGCUAUGUGAGAGGUUAUAGACCUACAGUCAGUGCCCAGAUUUCAGUUUCCAUUUAACCCUUCUGAACAGUAGGCUACAGUUCCCUCAAUAUGAACUUUUUCUGCCCCUUCCCAAAUGCAUUUAGCGUGUUGGCUAUUUGGCGCAUGUACAGUUAGGCCCUAAAGUUUAGGCUUAUGCACUAAUGCAGAUAGCCUAAAAUUAUGAAAGAAAAACCUCAAUGUAGCUUAAGAUGUACACAUUGCACAAGAAUAAUACAUUUAUGGAUUUUUUUAAGGUAUUGUCUUUAUUCAACCCGCCCGCGACCAACCCGCCCUUCAUCCACACAAUAUUUCAUGACCCUCAACCCGCCCGCCCUGCGGAUAUAACCACGGGGACUGCGGUUUAUGAGUCAACCCGCGCAUCACUAGGGCACGCAUAUCCAGAUUAGUGACCAGAAAGAACUUGUUUCAAGCCACAUUCAUCAUCCAUAUAAAAUACAGUUUAGCAAUCUACUACUGACUUAUCUUUGCCAGAACAAUUGUCUACCUGGCGAUUUGAUUGAUCAUUUUCAUAUUUCAGAUAGGCCUAGCGUGGGUGGCUACUGGCUAUAUGUCUAAAGAUAAGCAGCUGUAACAUCGCACUGCCAUCAAUAUUAUGGGACAAAUAUGUAACAUAUUCUGGUGAAAUUCUUAUAUUUGUGAGGAAGAAGAGGGCUAUCUGGCUGGCGAUGAGCGCUUUGCAGGCAGGCAUGAUAGUGGCCACAAAUAGAGUUGGAUAUAUUAAUGGUAGGCUACAAUCUUCUAUUUUGACUGGUAUUGUCUUGGUCAUUAUUAAUAAGUGCAGAAUUUGAGUUCAAAAUAAUUUACUAAUCAGAUUGUUCUGCUGUCCCUUCUUGUAAUAAUUGCUCAACGAGUCUGUCACCGCGGCUGCGGGAACCAUUCUUUUGGGGUGCCCUUUUUUUGUUGUUGAGCAUGUGCCCCCCCCAAAAAGGUCUGCGGACAGCCCUGCUUUGAGAUGUAGUAUGGAUGGUAUUGAUGUGAGCACCACAGCCAGCCUGUACAAGAGCCUCGCCCAAGCUGCUCCUGAGAUCAAGGAAUGUGUGGAUGCCUGUAACUUUAUCGCUGAGAGCACAAAGCAAGCAAAUGACAUUGGAUCA